This 15660-nucleotide long non-coding RNA is filed under the name Triticum aestivum (bread wheat). RNAcentral's name for it is "long non-coding RNA (TAES_LNC021702)". Lineage: Eukaryota; Viridiplantae; Streptophyta; Magnoliopsida; Poales; Poaceae. The record is from RNAcentral.
UACGCGAAGUUGCAGCUAUGGCGAACUUUUAAUCUAAACAAAACCCAAAGUCUAAACGACGCCCUAAGGGCUGUAUAUAUGGAGGAAGAGGGGGGAAUUUCGUGGCCCUUGAGGGAGGGGUCCCAAACCAACUCUAACUCUUGUUUCCCCACACAUACAGACUCUAAAAACAGCCUAUACUUAAGUAUUUCAAAAUUACAUGGGCCUGGCCCAUUAAUAAGGUGAUGCAGCACCUAUAAUAGCCUCUGGACGAAAUUUAUGAAGUGGCAUCUUGUAUAUUUUGUCCAAGGCUUCACGCACUCAUUAUGGUGGCUUCAAUGUCCUGAAAUCAUCACUCCUAACUCCGUUGUUGUUCCCCUUGCGCAUGCCAUCAUCUCCAUGCUUGAUCUUGCCCCAAUGAUCAUCCUUCUUGUCCAAGCUAGACCCUUCAUUUGUAAGCAAGGCAAAUGUAUCCAAUUUAGGCAGGAUCAUAUUCUCAUGAACAUUAGAAUCAUUACCAAGAAACGGAAGUACCUGGUAAUUUAAUUGGCGUGCGCGAGCUCUAGUAAUAGAUCCUGUAUAUAUAUAUCAGUAGGGACUGUGGGUAUACCUUUGUUAGUGAUGUCCUCAUCAUCCUCCCCUUCUUGAAUUGAAGUCGCCCUCGAUGGAAGGUCAUCUUCCUCACCCAAGUAAGGCUUCAAAUCUGCAAUGUUAAAAGUGGGACUAACCCAAAAACCUGCAGGCAACUCAAGUUUAUAUGCAUUAUCAUUUAUUUUUUAUAACACCUUAAAAGGACCAUCAGCAUGUGGCAUGAGCAUUGACUUGCACAAAUUAGGAAACCUAUCCUUACGCAAAUGUAACCAAACAAGAUCUCAAGGUGCAAAGACAACAUGUUUUCUACCCUUAUCUCCAACAAGUUUAUAUUUAGCAUUCAUGCGCUCAAUAUUUUCCUUAGUUAACUCAUGCAUCUUUAAGAUCAAUUCAGCAUGUUGUUUAGCAUCAAAAUUAACCUUCUCCGAAGAUGGAAGAGGCAACAAAUCAAUAGGUGCACGAGGUAGGAAACCAUACACAAUUUCAAAAGGGCACAUCUUAGUAGUAGAAUGCAGCGACCGAUUAUAAGCAAAUUCAAUAUGAGGCAAGCAUUCUUCCCACAUUUUCUUGUUAUUCUUCAAAACAGCCCUAAGCAUGGUAGACAAUGUUCUAUUGACUACUUCAGUUUGUCCAUCUGUUUGGGGAUGACAUGUAGUACUAAAAAGCAGUUUAGUCCCCAACUUAGCCCAUAAACAUCUCCAAAAGUGUCUAAGAAAUUUAGUAUCACGAUAUGAAACAAUAGUAUUUGGCACACCAUGUAAGCGAAUAAUUUCACGAAAGAACAAAUCAGCAACAUUAACAGCAACAUCGCUUUUAUGGCAUGGUAUAAAGUGUGCCAUUUUCGACAACCUAUCCAUGGCAACAAAUAUGCUAUCCCUCCCCUUCUUUGUUCGAUGUAAACCUAAAACAAAGUCCAUAGAUAUAUCCUCCCAAGGAACACUAGGUACAGGUAAAGGCAUAUACAAACCAUGAGGAUUGAGUCGUGACUUAGCUUUUUGACAUGUAAUGCAGCGGGCAACAAAAUGCUCAACAUCCUGUCUCAUCUUUGGCCAAAAAGAAAUGUGUAGCAAGUAUAUCUUCCGUCUUCUUCACGCCAAAGUGUCCCAUUAAUCCUCCUCCAUGCGCCUCUUGCAACAACAAAAGAUGAAUGGAGCUAGCUGGAAUGCAUAGCUUGUUAGCAUGAAACACAAAUCCAUCGUUAAUGACGAACUUGUUCCAAGUUCUCCCUUCCUUACAAUUCUGCAAGACAUCUUUAAAUUCAGCAUCAUGCACAUAUUGAUCUUUGAUGGUCUCCAAACCAAAUAUUUUAAAGUCAAGUUGUGAAAGCAUAGUAUAACGACGAGACAAUGCAUUAGCAAUAACAUUUUCUUUACCCUUCUUGUGUUUAAUGACAUAAGGGAAAGUCUCAAUGAAUUCAACCCAUUUAGCAUGUCUACGGUUCAGUUUUGCUUCACUUUUAAUGUGUUUCAAAGAUUCAUGAUCAGAAUGUAUAACAAAUUCCUUGGGCCAAAAAUAAUGUUGCCAUGUUUCUAAGGUCCGAACAAGAGCAUAUAAUUCUUUAUCAUAGGUAGAAUAGUUCAGACUAGGCCCACUCAAUUUUUCAGAAAAGUAUGCAACAGGUUUGCCAUCUUGUAAUAACACACAUCCUAAUCCAAUUCCACUAGCAUCACAUUAAAGCUCAAAAGUCUUAUUAAAAUCAGGAAGUUGGAGUAAAGGAGCAUGUGUCAACUUAUCUUUCAAUACCGUGAAGGCUUGUUCCUGUGCGGUACCCCAAACAAAAGGCACAUAUUCUUUGUAAGCUCGUUGAGAGAUGCCGCAAUGGUGCUGAAAUCUCUCACAAAAUGCCUAUAGAAACCAGCGAGGCCAAGGAAACUCCUCACUCGUGUGACCGUUUUGGGCUGCGGCCAACUCUCAAUAGCUUCAAUCUUGACUUUAUCAACUUCAAUUCCCUGUGGAGUAACAACAUAGCCAAGAAAAGAUACUCGUUCAGUGCAAAAGGUGCACUUCCCAAGGUUACCAAACAAACGUGCAUCACGUAGAGUAAUAAAAACAGCACGUAAAUGUUCCAAAUGUUCUUCCAAAGAUUUGCUAUAAAUCAGUAUAUCAUCAAAAUAGACAACCACAAAUCGUCCAAUGAAAGCACGUAAAACUUCGUUCAUUAGUCUCAUGAAAGUACUAGGCGCAUUAGUUAACCCAAAAGGCAUGACUAACCACUCAUAUAAACCAAACUUAGUUUUAAAUGCUGGUUUCCAUUCAUCUCCCAAUUUCAUACGAAUUUGAUGGUAUCCACUACGCAAAUCAACUUUGGAGAAUAGUGUAGAGCCACUCAAUUCAUCAAGCAUAUCGUCUAGCCUAGGAAUAGGAUGACGAUAACGAAUAGUAAUAUUAUUAAUGCCUCUACAAUCAACACACAUAUGCGACGUACCAUCCUUUUUAGGCACUAGUAUAAUAGGAACAACACAAGGACUAAGAGAUUCACGUAUAUAACCUUUGUCGAGCAGCUCCUGUACUUGACGCAUAAUCUCCUUCGUCUCCUCUGGAUUGAUACGUUAUGGUGCACGGUUGGGUAGCGAUGCACCGGGAAUUAAGUCAAUUUGAUGCUCAAUCCCUCGAAUAGGUGGUAAUCCCGUUGGCACGACUUGUGGAAAGACGUCAGCGAACUCCUGCAAAAUGUUAGUGACAGCAGGGGGCAAAGAGGAAGGCACAUCCUCGAAUGAAAAUAAUGCCUCUUUGCACACAAAAGCAUAGCAAACAGAUUUGCUAAAAUCUAGCUCAUCAAUAUAAGAUUUGGUGGCAAGUAAACAUGCACUUUUCAAUUUAAUUUCAGAAGCAACAGUAGAUAGUUUAUUAUUAGGCUUCAUUUAUUGCUCAAAUUCUUUUGCCACAAUCUGAUUUUCACUCUUAUUUUUCUCCUGUUUUGCUUUAUUAGCUCUAAUAAUAUCAUCUUUCAAAAUGGAAUCAGGAGUCAUAGGAAGCAAAGUAAUAUUUUUAUCGUUAUGAACAAGAGUAUACUGAUUGUUUCUACCAUGGUGUACAUAAUUUUUAUCAAAUUGCCAUGGUCUACCAAGUAAUAAGGAACAUGCUUGCAUAGGUACCACAUCACAAUCAACAUAAUCAGCAUAUGUAGAGAUACUAAAAUGCACACGAACAGUUCGUGUUACCUUAACCUUGCCGCUGUUGUUGAACCAUUGGAUGUAGUAAGGAUGUGGAUGUGGUCUUGUGGUGAGAGAUAGCUUCUCCACCAUCUCCAUGCUAGCCAAGUUGUUGCAACUCCCUCCAUCUAUGAUCACGCGAACAGAACAUUCCUUCACAACUCCCUUUGUAUGGAACAAAUUAUGCCUCUGAUUUUGCUCAACUUGUGUAACCCGCACACUCAAAACACGUUGAACAACUAAACAUUCAUACCUGUCAGCAUCUUCAGGAGCCAUGAAUUGCGUCUCAUGAUCAUAAUCGUCUCCAUCGUCUUCUUCAUGUGUAAUAAGAGUCAAAGUCUCCUCAUCAUAGUCACUAGCGGACUCAAACCCACCGUCCUCAGUAGCAAUCAUCACACGCUGAGAUUUGCAUUCUCUCACAAAAUGUCCUCUUGCCUUACAACAACAACAAAUAAUAUCACUUGUGUGCCCUAUUGAUGCCAUGGAAGAAGAAGAACUCUGUGCAGGCCCAAUAGGUGUGCUCUGAAGGAAAUAUGCCCUAGAGACAAUAAUAAAGUUAUUAUUUAUUUCCUUAUAUCAUGAUAAAUGUUUAUUAUUCAUGCUAGAAUUGUAUUAACCGGAAACAUGAUACAUGUGUGAAUACGUAGACAAAUAGAGUGUCACUAGUAUGCCUCUACUUGACUAGCUCGUUGAUAAAAGAUGGUUAUGUUUCCUAGCCACAGACAUGAGUUGUCAUUUGAUUAACGGGAUCACAUCAUUAGGAGAAUGAUGUGAUUGACUUGACCAAUUCCGUUACAUUAGCACUUGAUCAUUUAGAAUGUUGCUAUUGCUUUCUUCGUGGCUUAUACAUGUUCCUAUGACUAUGAGAUUAUGCAACUCCCGUUUACUGGAGGAACACUUUGUGUGCUACCAAAUUUCACAACGUAAUUGGGUGAUUAUAAAGGUGCUCUACAGGUGUCUCCGAAGGUACUUGUUGGGUUGGCGUAUUUUGAGAUUAGGAUUUGUCACUCCGAUUGUCAGAGAGGUAUCUCUGGGCCCACUCGGUAAUGCACAUCACUAUAAGCCUUGCAAGCAUUGUAACUAAUGAGUUAGUUGCGGGAUGAUGUAUUACGGAACGAGUAAAGAGACUUGCCGGUAACGAGAUUGAACUAGGUAUUAAGAUACCGACGAUCGAAUCUCGGGCAAGUAACAUAACAAUGACAAAAUGAACAAUGUAUGUUGUUAUGCGGUUUGACCAUUAAAGAUCUUCGUAGUAUAUGUGGGAGCCAAUAUGAGCAUCCAGGUUCCGCUAUUGGUUAUUGACCAGAGAUAUGUCUCGGUCAUGUCUUCAUAGUUCUCGAACCCGUAGGGUCCGCACGCUUAAUGUUCGAUGACGGUUAUAUUAUGAGUUUAUGUGUUUUGAUUUACCGAAGAUAGUUCGGAGUCACGGAUGUGAUCACGGACAUGACGAGGAGUCUCGAAAUGGUCGAGACAUAAAGAUUGAUAUAUUGGAAGCCUAUAUUUGGAUAUCGAAAGUGUUCCGGGUGAAAUCGGGAUUUUACCGGAGUACUGGAGGGUUACCGGAACCCCCGGGGGCUUAAUGGGCCUACAUGGGCCUUAGUGGAAAUAGAGGGCAGAAAGGGGAGUGUGGGGUGCGCCCCACCAAGGCCCAAACCGAAUUGGUUUAGGGCAAGGGGGGACGGCCCCCUCUUUCCUUCUCCUCCUCUCCCUUUCCUUCCCCCUCUCCUACUCCUACUAGGAAUAGGAGGAGUCCUACUCCCACCAGCAGUAGGACUCCCCCUUGGCACGCCUCUCCCUGGCCGGCCGCCUCCUCCCCUUGCUCCUUUAUAUACGGGGGCAGGGGGGCAUCCCAUAGACACAACAAUUGAUCAUUGAUCUCUUAGCCGUGUGCGGUGCCCCCCUCCAGCAUAAUCCACCUCGAUAAUAUCGUAGCGAUGCUUAGGCGAAUCCCUGUGUCGGUAGAACAUCAUCAUCAUCACCGCGCCGUCGUGCUGACAAAACUCACCCUCAAUAGUCGGCUGGAUCGGGGUUCGAGGGACGUCAUCGAGCUGAACGUGUGCUGAACUCGGAGGUGCCAUGCGUUUGGUACUUGGAUCGUCGGAUCGUGAAGACGUACGACUACAUCAACCGCGUUGUCAUAACGCUUCCGCUUACGGUCUACGAGGGUACGUGGACACACUCUCCACGCUUGUUGCUAUGCAUCACCAUGAUCUUGAGUGUGCGUAGGAAUUUUUUUGAAACUACUACGUUCCCCAACAGUGGCAUCCGAGCCUGGUUUUAUACGUUGAUGUUAUAUGCACGAGUAGAACACAUGUGAGUUGUGGGCGGUACAAGUCAUACUGCUUACCAGCAUUUCAUACUUUGGUUCGGCGGUAUUGUUGGAUGAAGCGGCCCGGACCUACAUUACGCGUACGCUUACGCGAGACUGGUUCUACCGAUGUGCUUUGCAUACAGGUGGCUGGCGGGUGUCAGUUUCUCCAACUUUAGUUGAACCGAGUGUUGCUACGCCCGGUCCUUGAGAAGGUUAAACCAACACUAACUUGACGAACUAUCGCUGUGGUUUUGAUGCGUAGGUAAGAACGGUUCUUGCUCAGCCCGUAACAGCCACGUAAAACUUGCAACAACAAAGUAGAGGACGUCUAACUUGUUUUUGCAGGGCAUGUUGUGAUGUGAUAUGGUCAAGGCAUGAUGCUAUAUUUUAUUGUAUGAGAUGAUCAUGUUUUGUAACCGAGAUACCGGCAACUGGCAGGAGCCAUAUGGUUGUCGCUUUAUUGUAUGCAAUGCAAUCGCCCUGUAAUGCUUUACUUUAUCACUAAGUGGUAGCGAUAGUCAUAGAAGCAUAACUUGGAGAGACGACAAUGAUGCUACGAUGGAGAUCAAGGUGUCGCGCCGGUGACGAUGGUGAUCAUGACGGUGCUUCGAAGAUGGAGAUCACAAGCACAAGAUGAUGAUGGCCAUAUCAUAUCACUUAUAUUGAUUGCAUGUGAUGUUUAUCUUUUAUGCAUCUUAUCUUGCUUUGAUUGACGGUAGCAUUAUAAGAUGAUCUCUCACUAAAUUAUCAAGAUAUAAGUGUUCUCCCUAAGUAUGCCCCAUUGCGAAAGUUCUUCGUGCUGAGACACCACGUGAUGAUAGGGUGUGAUAGGCUCUACGUUCAAAUACAACGGGUGCAAAACGGUUGCACAUGCGGAAUACUCAGGUUAAACUUGACGAGCCUAGCAUAUAACAGAUAUGGCCUCGGAACGUUGAGACCGAAAGGUCAAGCGUGAAUCAUAUAGUAGAUAUGAUCAACAUAGUGAUGUUCACCAUUGAAACUACUCCAUCUCACGUGAUGAUCGGACAUGGUUUAGUUGAUAUGGAUCACGUGAUCACUUAGAAGAUUAGAGGGAUGUCUAUCUAAGUGGGAGUUCUUAAGUAAUAUGAUUAAUUGAACUUUAAUUUGUCAUGAACUUAGUCCUAAUAGUAUUUGCAUAACUAUGUUGCAGAUCAGUAGCUCGCGAUGUUGCUCCUCGUUUAAUUUUGAUAUGUUCCUAGAGAAAAACUAUGUUGAAAAAUGUUAGUAGCAAUGAUGCGGACUAGCUCCAUGAUCUGAGGAUUAUCCUCAUUGCUGCACAGAAGAAUUAUGACCUUGAUGCACCGCUAGGUGAUGACCUAUUGCAGGAGCAUAUGCACACGUUAUGAACGUUUGGCAAAUCUCGGUAUGAUGACUACUUGAUAGUUUAGUGCACCAUGCUUUACGGCUUAUAACCGGGACUUCAAAAAUGGUUUGAACGCCACGGAGCAUGUAAGAUGUUCCAAGAGUUGAAAUUGGUAUUUCAUACUCAUGCCCGUGUCAAGAGGUAUGAGAUCUCUAACAGUACUUUGCCUAAGGAGAAUAGCUCAACCAGUGAGCAUGUGGCGCAGAUUGUCUGAGUACUACAAUCGCUUGAAUCAAGUUGGAGUUAAUCUUCCAGAUGAGAGAGUGAUUGACAGAAUUCUGUAGUCACUAUCACCAAGUUACUAGAACUUCGUGAUGAACUAUAAUAUGCAAGGGAUAACAGAAACGAUUCCCAAGCUCUUCGUGAUGCUGAAAUCGACGAAGGUAGAAAUCAAGAAAAACAUCAAGUGUUGAUGGUUGACAAGACCACUAGUUUCAAGAAAAGGGCAAAGGGAAGAAGGGGAACUUCAAGAAGAAUAGCAAGCAAGUUGCUGCUCAAGUGAAGAAGCCCAAGUCUGGACCUAAGCCUAAGACUAAGUACUUCUACUGCAAAGGAACUGGUCACGGGAAACGAAACUGCCCCAAGUAUUUGUUGGGUAAGAAGGAUGGCCAAGUGAACAAAAGUAUAUUUGAUAUACAUGUUAUUGAUGUGUACUUUUCUAGUUUUUAUAGCAACCCCUUGGUGUUUGAUACUGGUUCAGUUGCUAAGAGUAGUAACUCGAAACGGGAGUUGCAAAAUAAACAGAGACUAGUUAAGGGUGAAGUGAUGAUGUGUGUUGGAAGUGGUUCCAAGAUUGACGUGAUCAUCAUCGCACACUCCCUAUACUUUCGAGAUUAGUGUUGAACCUAAAUAAGUGUUAUUUGGUGUUUGUGUUGAGCAUGAAUAUGAUUUGAUCAUGUUUAUUGCAAUACAGUUAUUCAUUUAAAGUCAGAGAAUAAUUGUUGUUCCGUUUACAUGAAUAAAACUUUUGAUGCUCAUACACCCAAUGAAAAUAGUUUGUUGGAUCUCGAUCGUAAGUGAUACACAUAUUCAUAAUAUUGAAACCAAAAUAUGCAAAGUUAAUAAUGAUAGUGCAACUUAUUUGUGGCACUGCCAUUUAGGUCAUAUUGGUGUAAAGCGCAUGAAGAAACUCCAUGUUGAUGGGCUUUUGGAAUCACUUGAUUAUGAAUCACUUGAUGCUUGCGAACCAUGCCUCAUGGGCAAGAUGACUAAGACUCCGUUCUCCGGAACAAUUGAGCGAGCAACUGACUUAUUGGAAAUAAUACAUACUGAUGUAUGUGAUCAGAUGAGUGUUGAGGCUCACGGCAGGUAUCGUUAUUUUCUGACCUUCACAGAUGAUUUGAGCAGAUAUGGGUAUAUCUACUUGAUGAAACAUAAGUCUGAAACAUUUGAAAAGUUCAAAGAAUUUCAGAGUGAAGUGGAAAAUCAUCGUAACAAGAAAAUAAAGUUUCUAGGAUUUGAUCGCAGAGACGAAUAUUUUGAAUUAUGAGUUUGGUCUUCAAUUAAAACAAUGUGGAAUAGUUUCACAAAUUAAUGCCACCUAGAACACCACAGAGUAAUGGUGUGUCCGAACAUCAUAACCGUAUUUUAUUAGAUAUCGUUCGAUUUGUGAUGUCUCUUACCGAUUUACCACUAUUGCUUUGGGGUUAUGCAUUAGAGACAGCUGCAUUCACGUUAAAAAGGGCACCAUCUUAAUCCAUUGAGACGACACCGUAUGAACUGUGGUUUAGCAAGAAACCUAAGUUGUCGUUUCUUAAAGUUUGGGGUUGUGAUGCUUAUGUGAAAAAGCUUCAACCUGAUAAGCUCAAACCCAAAUCAGAGAAAUGUGUCUUGAUAGGAUACCCAAAGGAAACUGUUGGGUACACCUUCUAUCACAGAUCUGAAGGCAAGACUUUUGUUGCUAAAUUUGGAUCCUUUCUAGAGAAGGAGUUUCUCUCGAAAGAAGUGAGUGGGAGAAAAGUAGAACUUGAUGAGGUAACUGUACCUGCUCCCUUAUUGGAAAGUAGUUCAUCACAGAAAUCGGUUCCUGUGACACCUACACCAAUUAGUGAGGAAGUUAAUGAUGAUGAUCAUGAAACUUCAGAUCAAGUUGUUACUGAACCUCGUAGAUCAACCAGAGUAAGAUCCGCACCAGAGUGGUAUGGUAAUCCUAUUCUGGAGGUUAUGUUACUAGACCAUGAUGAACCUACGAACUAUGAAGAAGAGAUGGUGAGCCCAGAUUCCGCAAAAUGGCUUGAAGCCAUAAAAUCUGAUAUGGGAUCCAUGUAUGAGAACAAAGUGUAGACUUUGGUUGACUUGCCUGAUGAUCGGCAAGCCAUAGAAAAUAAAUGGAUCUUCAAGAAGAAGACGGAUGAUUAUAUAGUGUUACUAUCUACAAAGCUCGACUUGUUGGAAAAAGGUUUUUGACAAGUUCAAGGUUUUGACUAUGAUGAGUUUAUCUCACUUGUAGUGAUGCUUAAAGUCUGUCUGAACCAUGUUAACAAUUGCCACAUUUUAUGAAAUCUGGCAAAUGGAUAACAAAACUGUAUUCUUUAAUGGAUUUAUUAAAGAAGAGUUGUAUAUGAUGCAACCAGAAUGUUUUGUCAGUGAUCCAUCUAUGGACUGGUGCAAGCAUCUCGGAGUUGGAAUAUACGCUUUGAUAAGUUGAUCAAAGCAUAAAGUUUUAUACAGACUUGCGGUGAAGCCUGUAUUUAAAGAAAGUGAGUGGGACCACUACAACAUUUCUGAUAAGUAUAUGUGAAUGACAUAUUGUUGAUCGAAAAUAAUGUAGAAUUUUAUGUAAAGCAUAAAGGAGUAUUUGAAAGGGGUUUUUUCAAAGAAAGACCUCAGUGAAGCUGCUUACAUAUUGAGCAUCAAGAUCUAUAGAGAUAGAUCAAGAUGCUUGAUAAGUUUUUUCAAUGAAUACAUACCUUGACGAGAUUUUGAAGUAGUUCAAAAUGGAACAGUCAAAGAAGGAGUUCUUGCCUGUGUUGCAAGGUGUGAUGUUGAGUAAAGACUCAAAACCCGACCAUGGCAAAAAAUAGAACGAGAAUGAAAAAGUCAUUCCCUAUGCCUCAGCCAUAGGGAGUACAAUAGUGAUCAUGUUUUUCUUGUAUACCCUGCCAUGAGUUUGGCAAAGGGAGUACAAUAGUGAUCUAGGAGUAGAUCACCGGACAUUGGUCAAAAUUAUCCUUAGAGGAAUAAGGAUAUGUUUCUCGAUUAUGGAGAUGAAGAAAGGUUCGUCGUAAAGGGUUACUUCGAUGCAAAUUUUGACACUGAUCCAGAUGACUCUAAGUCUCAAUCUGGAUACAUAUUGAAAGUGGGAGCAAUUAGCUAGAGUAGCUCAGUGCAGAGCAUUAUUGACAUAGAAAUUUGCAAAAUACAUAUGGAUCUGAAUGUGGCAGACCCGUUGACUAAACUUCUCUCACAAGAAAAACAUGAUCACACCUUAGUACUCUUUGGGUGUUAAUCACAUAGCGAUGUGAGCUAGAUUAUUGACUCUAGUAAACUCUUUGGGUGCUGGUCACAUGACGGUGUGAACGAUGGGUGUUAAUUACAUGGUGAUGUAAACUAUUGAUGUUAAAUCACAUGGCGAUGUGAACUAGAUUAUUGACUCUAGUGCAAGUGGGAGACUGAAGAAAUAUGCCCUAGAGGCAAUAAUAAAGUUAUUAUUUAUUUCCUUAUAUCAUGAUAAAUGUUUAUUAUUCAUGCUAGAAUUGUAUUAACCGGAAACAUGAUACAUGUGUUAAUACAUAGACAAACAGAGUGUCACUAGUAUGCCUCUACUUGACUAGCUCGUUGAUCAAAGAUGGUUAUGUUUCCUAGCCAUAGACAUGAGUUGUCAUUUGAUUAACGGGAUCACAUCAUUAGGAGAAUGAUGUGAUUGACUUGACCCAUUCUGUUACCUUAGCACUUGAUCGUUUAGUAUGUUGCUAUUGCUUUCUUGAUGACUUAUACAUGUUCCUAUAACUAUGAGAUUAUGCAACUCCCGUUUACUGGAGGAACACUUUGUGUGCUACCAAACGUCACAACGUAACUGGGUGAUUAUAAAGGUGCUCUACAGGUGUCUCCGAAGGUACUUGUUGGGUUGGCAUAUUUCGAGAUUAGAAUUUGUCACUCCGAUUAUCAGAGAGGUAUCUCUGGGCCCACUCGGUAAUGCACAUCACUAUAAGCCUUGCCAGCAUUGUAACUAAUGAGUUAGUUGCGGGAUGAUGUAUUACGGAACGAGUAAAGAGACUUGCCGGUAACGAGAUUGAACUAGGUAUUAAGAUACCAACGAUUGAAUCUCGGGCAAGUAACAUACCGAUGACAAAAGGAACAACAUAUGUUGUUAUGCGGUUUGACCGAUAAAGAUCUUCGUAGAAUAUGUGGGAGCCAAUAUGAGCAUCCAGGUUCCGCUAUUGGUUAUUGACCGGAGACGUGUCUCGGUCAUGUCUACAUAGUUCUCGAACCCGUAGGGUCCGCACGCUUAAAGUUCGAUGAAGGUUAUUUUAUGAGUUUAUGUGUUUUGAUGUACCGAAGAUAGUUCGGAGUGCCGGAUGUGUUCAUGGACAUGAGGAGGAGUCUCGAAAUUGUCGAGACAUAAUUAUUGAUAUAUUGGAAGCCUAUAUUUGGAUAUCGGAAGUGUUCCGGGUGAAAUCAGGAUUUUACCGGAGUACCGGAGGGUUACCGGAACCCCCCGGGGGCUUAAUGGGCCUACAUGGGCCUUAGUGGAAAUAGAGGCAGCAAGGGGAGUGUGGAGCGCGCGCCCCAAGGCCCAAACCGAAUUAGUUUAGGGCAAGGGGGGCCGGCCCCCUCUUUCCUUCCCCUCCUCUCCCUUUCCUUCCCCCUCUCCUACUCCUACUAGGAAUAGGAGGAGUCCUACUCCUAGUGGGAGUAGGACCCCCCCUUGGCGCGCCUCUCCCUGGCCGGCCGCCUCCUCCCCUUUCUCCUUUAUAUACGGGGGCAGGGGGCACCCCAUAGACACAACAAUUGAUCAUUGAUCUCUUAGCCGUGUGCGGUGCCCCCCUCCACCAUAAUCCACCUUGAUAAUAUCGUAGCGAUGCUUAGGCGAAUCCCUGCGUCGGUAGAACAUCAUCAUCGUCACCACUCCGUCGUCCUGACGACUCUCCCUCAACACUCGGCUGGAUCGGAGUUCGAGGUACGUCAUCGAGCUGAACGUGUGCUGAACUCGGAGGUGCCGUGCGUUUGGUACUUGGAUCGAUCGGAUCGUGAAGACGUACGACUACAUCAACCGUGUUGUCAUAACGCUUCCGCUUACGGUCUACGAGGGUACGUGGACAUACUCUCCCCGCUCGUUGCUAUGCAUCACCAUGAUCUUGCGUGUGCGUAGGAAUUUUUUUGAAAUUACUAUGUUCCCCAACAUGCUCUUGGCAGAUAAUGGUGGUUCUGCCUGCUUCCUUGUAUCACGGCUGGAGGUAACAACUGAUGGAGGUGUCGGUGCAGUAGAAUGUGUGGAAGUACAGGAUGCACACGGUGUCCAUGAUGAAGGUCGACCUGCAAAAAAGUUAGUUCGCGCCAAUGCCUGUCGAUCCUGCACUUCACAUUCAGCUUUACAAGCAAGAUGGAAUAAAUGAGUGAUAUUAUUAUAAUCCUUAUACUCUAGAAUGGUCUGAAUCUCUCUAUUUAAUCCACCCAUAAAACGUGCAAGCAUAGCUUCAUUCUCCUCAAGAAUACCACAUCUAAUCAAGCCAGUUUGUAAUUCCUGAUAAUAUUCUUCUACAGAAUAUUUUUCUUUGUCUUAAGCGCUGCAAUUUUUCAAGUAAUUCACGUUGAUAAUAUGGUGGAACCCAACGAGUACGUAUAGCAGUUUUCAAAGCAGCCCAAGUAGCUUGAACAUGAUAUAAUCUACAAUGUUCAGACCACCAAACACAUGCAAAGCUAGUGAAAGCACAAACAACAGCAGGAACACGUCCCUCCUCAGGAUAUUGUAAACAUGUAAAUCGUUGUUCAGUUUCUAACUCCCAAGUAAGAUAUAUAUCAGGAACAUAUCUACCCUCAAAUGGUGGAAUAUUCAAUUUCUGUUUAGGGAGAUGGUCAUGAUCUUGUACCUGAGGUGGUGGUGCAGGCCUACCGUUGCGAAUAUAUACCUGAGGUCGACCUGCUGGUGGUGGUGCUGGUGGCUGCACGUAGUUCUGAUUUUGAUCAACCUCAUCCUCGUAAUAGUCCUCCACCUCUGCAGUAGCAGCAGGAGCUACAGAAACACCAACAACAGUAUCAGCGGCACCAGAAUUUUGUCCUGGCUCGCCCUACUGUAUCGCGGCGUAGAGUUGGUUGUGGGAGACGAUUGAGUAAUUCAUCAAACUUGGCGUCCAACUUGGUGUCAAUUGUCUUCCCAAUGUCAUCCAUCUUCUCCAUUGCCUUUCCAAAGCUGGCCAUCACGUCUUCCACCUAUUGACCCAACAUUUGAUGAAACUUAUCAUGAAGCUCCUUGUUCGUCAUGUUCUCCCAGUCAAUCUCAUCGGCUUGUGGUCCUGCCAUAGUUAGCAGCAAUAGAAACAGACAAGAAUAUGAUCCUACAUACUACUGGAAAAUGGUGGUGGUGGGGUGUCACAAAUCCGUCAAGCGAAUCUCAAAUUCUUACCCGUUCUUACCAAGCAGCUGGUAGUGAUCAGCAACCGUUGUAGUCAAAACUCUCAAAAGCUUGGAUAGAGCGAGUACCAGGGAGAGUCAAACGCACGACGCAGAUGUAUGUGGAGAUGGGAAGGCUUAUAAUAUGGUAGCAAAAAGGAUCAGCAAUAAUCAGUUUAGAGAUGCAAAGUUGAAUAAAUGCUCAACGACGAUACUGUGCUGGUCCUAGGCUAGACCUUGCUAGAGAUGCGAGCCUACAACACUAACAAAAUCACGGCGUUGCACGUAAACAAGGGAAAAGCACACUCUUGAAAAAAUCGCUUUUUUCUUCUUUUUUUUGAGCUAUUUUUUUGCGCUCUUUUUUUUAACGAAAAAUCACUAUAAUGGCGAGUGUCUCAAAACUCUUCCCAGGUCAAACUGACAGGAUGUGUACGAAAUUUUUUUGACCAUUUUUUUUCGGAAAUCAGGGCAGCGACGACGAAAAAGUGUGACAAAAAAUUACUAUGAUGGCGAGUGUCUCAAAACACUCCCUGGGACCUAAAAAUAGGAUAGGGAAAAAAUAUUUUCGGUCGCCGAAAUUUUGGCCUAAAAACUGGUCGAUUUUUUUUCUGAAACCUACUCAGGCAAGGAAACACGAAUCGGAAAUUAGAUGGAUCUCGAAAACAAACCUAAUACGAAAAGAACUCGGAUUGGUGGUGGAUAUAUGAUGGUAGGAUAUGGCAGCGGUGGUGGUAUACGGAUAUGGAUCGGUGGUAUAUGGCAGCGUUGGUGGGAUAUGGGAGCGGUGGUGGUAUAUGGCAGCGUUGGUGGGAUAUGGCAGCGGUGGUGGUAUAUGGCAGCGUUGGUGGGAUAUGGCAGCGGUGGUGGUAUAUGGCAACAGCGGUGAAGAUGGUGCGGCGGCGGUGUGACAAACUAUGACAGAACUCGAAACUCUUAAGGACUAACGCUAAGACCAGCAACUAGACACGACGAUGCAACCGCAAAUUCAACAAAGCAAAACCCUAAAAAGAUUAUGCAAAGGCUCAGAUUGGUUCAGAUAUGAUGAACUAACCCUAAAUUUUUUUGUGGCUUUUUUUUGUGGACUGUAGGUAUGAAGAACAUACUCGAUCUAAACUAUGAAAAACUGUAAUAUCUCACCGAGCAACCUGGAAAUCUGAUACCACUUGAUAGAGGCAAAGGUGUCCCGACUUUCGAUGAGAUGAUGGAUAUCGCUUUGGUGGAAGUUGACUUUGACGAUCCGACUACGAACGUGCGAGGACGUCGCGCCUUAGCAAUCGCUAAACCAACUCCGAGAGGUUAUUGACCACGUCGGAGCACGAUCAACCUGACCACGAGGGUCUGUUUCCUGCGAGCAAACGAAGAACAAGCAAGAAACUGAGAUUGCAAUCUGGAUAUUGCGAAUAUAAGAUGAAAGCUUUCUUAAUCAAGGUGAGGUUCUGUGACGCCUUUGUCUGGUCGUUGAACACAAACGGAGUACGCGAAGUUGCAGCUAUGGCGAACUUUUAAUCUAAACAAAACCCAAAGUCUAAACGACGCCCUAAGGGCUGUAUAUAUGGAGGAAGAGGGGGAAAUUUCGUGGCCCUUGAGGGAGGGGUCCGAAACCAACCCUAACUCUUGUUUCCCCACACAUACGGACUCUAAAAACAGCCUAUACUUAAGUAUUUCGAAAUUACAUGGGCCUGGCCCAAUAAUAA